GGAUCAUUACACAAAUGAAAAUAUGAAGGCCCUUCAAACCGGCUGGAUUAUUUUUCUUCACCCUUGUCUUUUGCGCACUUGUUGUUUCCUGGGCGGGUUCGCUCGCCACCAGGACCACACCAUAAACCUUUUUGUUAAUGCAAUCAGCGUCAGUAAAAAGUAAUAAUUAUUUUACAACUUUCAACAACGGAUCUCUUGGUUCUGGCAUCGAUGAAGAACGCAGCGAAAUGCGAUACGUAGUGUGAAUUGCAGAAUUCAGUGAAUCAUCGAAUCUUUGAACGCACAUUGCGCCCUUUGGUAUUCCAAAGGGCAUGCCUGUUCGAGCGUCAUUUGUACCCUCAAGCUUUGCUUGGUGUUGGGCGUUGUUUGUCUUUGGCCUUGCCCAAAGACUCGCCUUAAAACAAUUGGCAGCCGGCCUACUGGUUUCGCAGCGCAGCACAUUUUUGCGCUUGCAAUCAGCAAAAGAGGUUGGCCAUCCAUCAAGACUACAUUUAUACGUUUGACCUCGGAUCAGGUAGGGAUACCCGCUGAACUUAAGCAUAUCAAUAAGCGGAGGAAAAGAAACCAACAGGGAUUGCCCUAGUAACGGCGAGUGAAGCGGCAACAGCUCAAAUUUGAAAUCUGGCUCUUUUAGAGUCCGAGUUGUAAUUUGCAGAGGGCGCUUUGGCUUUGGCAGCGGUCCAAGUUCCUUGGAACAGGACGUCACA
Molecule: small RNA, 707 nt
Filed under: Curvularia verruculosa
Lineage: Eukaryota; Fungi; Ascomycota; Dothideomycetes; Pleosporales; Pleosporaceae
Description: eukaryotic LSU rRNA
Rfam family: 5.8S ribosomal RNA (bases 176-329)
Source: RNAcentral